Molecule: ribosomal RNA, 421 nt
Filed under: uncultured bacterium
Lineage: Bacteria
Description: partial 16S ribosomal RNA
Rfam family: Bacterial small subunit ribosomal RNA
Source: RNAcentral
AAUAUUGGACAACGGGGGCAACCCUGAUCCAGCCAUGCCGCGUGUGUGAAGAAGGUCUUCGGAUUGUAAAGCACUUUAAGUUGGGAGGAAGGGCUUUAGGUGAAUACCCUGAAGUCUUGACGUUACCAACAGAAUAAGCACCGGCUAACUCUGUGCCAGCAGCCGCGGUAAUACCGAGGGUGCAAGCGUGAAUCGGAAUUACUGGGCGUAAAGCGCGCGUAUGUGAUUCAGUAAGAUGGGUGUGAAAUCCCCGGGCUUAACCUUGGAACUGCUUUCAUAACUGCUGAACUAGAGUACGGUAGAGGGUAGUGGAAUUUCCUGUGUAGCGGUGAAAUGCGUAGAUAUAGGAAGGAACACCAGUGGCGAAGGCGACUACCUGGACUGAUACUGACACUGAGGUGCGAAAGCGUGGGGAGCAAAC